Molecule: ribosomal RNA, 468 nt
Filed under: uncultured bacterium
Lineage: Bacteria
Description: partial 16S ribosomal RNA
Rfam family: Bacterial small subunit ribosomal RNA
Source: RNAcentral
GACGAACGCUGGCGGCGUGCUUAACACAUGCCAGUCGAACGGAAAGGCCCUGCUUUUGUGGGGUGCUCGAGUGGCGAACGGGUGAGUAACACGUGAGUAACCUGCCCUUGACUUUGGGAUAACUUCAGGAAACUGGGGCUAAUACCGGAUAGGAGCUCCUGCUGCAUGGUGGGGGUUGGAAAGUUUCGGCGGUUGGGGAUGGACUCGCGGCUUAUCAGCUUGUUGGUGGGGUAGUGGCUUACCAAGGCUUUGACGGGUAGCCGGCCUGAGAGGGUGACCGCCCACAUUGGGACUGAGAUACGGCCCAGACUCCUACGGGAGGCAGCAGUGGGGAAUAUUGCACAAUGGGCGGAAGCCUGAUGCAGCAACGCCGCGUGCGGGAUGACGGCCUUCGGGUUGUAAACCGCUUUCGCCUGUGACGAAGCGUGAGUGACGGUAAUGGGUAAAGAAGCACCGGCUAACUACGUG